CUAUUGCUUAUUACCUAUGUAAUCUUGAUCUCUAUAAGCCUCGGUUUUCUUACAGGUAAGAUAGAAAGAAUAAGGUCUAUCUUAGGGGAAUGGUGUGAGGAUGAUAUAAGAUAAUAAAUGGUAAAUAAUCCUGUUUUCACCCCUUGAAAAUAUUAAAAAAUGGUGGUAGUUGAAACUGUUGUCAUCAUAAUAAUUAAAAUGCAGUUUGCCUUCUUCCCCAUUCCACUCUAUUCCAUCACUUCCCUGCCAUUUCUUCCGUUUUACUCAAAGCUUAACGUUAGAAGGUACUCAAGAUAAACAUCAGAAAGUAAUGAAGACUAUGAAUCGUUCCUUAAAAACGGACGUUUGGGUAUACUAAAUUAUCAAGUUGCCAGUACAGGCAGGAGUUACAAACUCUGAUGUUUGGACAGAUUCACAGGAAAGCAGGAACAAACAUUUAGCUGAAAGUUGGUGAUAAACUCCAGUUCAUGGUGUUCAAUCGGCACUGGGCAGAUUCAAUUCUCCACACCAUGGCUGCCUUCCCCAGUUGUCAAGUGUCAGAAGCGGCAGCCAUGAGCAAUCUGACUGUAAAACUCUUCUAAAACUCAGUAUUACCAGUAGAAGAAACAGUGAACAUCAGUAAAAUAGGGGGGUUGAACAAACAGACUCUUCAAACGAGAUCUUGGUUUAAACUUUGUCUCCUUUUUUUCCUAACUGGGUAUCAGGAGGCAAAAUUCCAAAUAUUUCAGUUUCACUUUCUUUCCUUUAGUCUUUCAAAAGUCACAUAACCGGAAUCUUUGUUUUAACUAUCAUAAAGUGAUAGGAUUGAAAUAGAAUUUUGUAAACAAUAACUUGCUAUUUAAAUCAAUGGGGUCACAAUCAUUCUUGCAGCCAUCAAAAUUAUUAUCCUCUUCCUCAUCUUUAAGGUCAUCUCCAGCUAUAAACAUUUCUCUUUCCUCUGAUGUCAGUCCUAAUGUAGGACUAAUGUUCUUUCUCUGGGUAGAGUCAACAAUGGAAGGGAAAAAGCAAGAUCAGAAACUCGGAUAAUUCUCUCACUGGAAAAGUUAUCUCUGACUAUUUGCUCAUUGUAAAACUGGAUGAUGAAUUCAAAGUCACAAUGUGCUGUGCUUUUACCUCCUACAAUUCAAAGCUCACUGUAGACUAAACUUUUCAGUUGAUUCAUCCAUUGACUUAUUCAUUUAACACUGGACUUUACCACAGUACCUAUGGCAUGGAGAACACAGGAAAAUGGCUUUCCCAUUGAGAGUUCAAAGAGCUACCUGGGAAUGUUUCCUGAAGUCUAUCACUAUCUACAGGCUAAUCAUGCUCCAUCCUGAGAUAACUAUCUUGGCACCUGGAUGCCAGGUCAUUUUGAAAGGACAUCUACAAUUGAAAAUAUGUUCAUAAUAAAGACUGGCCCAACUAUCAGGAAGACUGAAAUAGGAAAUGUAUUUAUUAAGAUGAGCAAAAUUAACAUAUUUUUUUCCACCAGGGUUGCACUUGGCACUGACAUCUCACUUGGUGCAUAAAUCUCAAAAAUUUCCUAAGGUCUCUGUGUAGACAGGGAGAAAAACCUCUGGCACAUUUCUAUUAUCUUAUUGGAGGGAUAAAGAAUGGACAGCAAGACACGGGCAGCAUCAAAAUAAAGAUGUUUACUCAAGUGUUUCUCUCACCAAAUUGGUUCAACAGGCAUGCAGCUGUUUAUCCUCUAAGCUAGCAGCUGGCAAACUAUGACCCAUCAACCAAACUCAGUCCCUCUUGUUAUUGUAAAGUUUGGUU
Bos taurus (domestic cattle) is the source of this 1758-nucleotide long non-coding RNA. NCBI's taxonomy places the organism in Eukaryota, Metazoa, Chordata, Mammalia, Artiodactyla, Bovidae. The record is from Ensembl.